This 478-nucleotide ribosomal RNA is filed under the name uncultured bacterium. RNAcentral describes it as "partial 16S ribosomal RNA". It matches the Rfam family "Bacterial small subunit ribosomal RNA", at positions 28 to 523 of the family's 1533-position model. The record is from RNAcentral.
GACGAACGCUGGCGGCGUGCUUAACACAUGCAAGUCGAGCGAUGAAGUUCCUUCGGGAAUGGAUUAGCGGCGGACGGGUGAGUAACACGUGGGUAACCUGCCUCAUAGAGGGGAAUAGCCUUUCGAAAGGAAGAUUAAUACCGCAUAAGAUUGUAGCUUCGCAUGAAGUAGCAAUUAAAGGAGUAAUCCGCUAUGAGAUGGACCCGCGUCGCAUUAGCUAGUUGGUGAGGUAACGGCUAACCAAGGCGACGAUGCGUAGCCGACAUGAGAGGGUGAUCGGCCACAUUGGGACUGAGACACGGCCCAGACUCCUACGGGAGGCAGCAGUGGGGAAGAUUGCACAAUGGGGGAAACCCUGAUUCAGCAACGCCGCGUGAGUGAUGACGGUCUACGGAUUGUAAAGCUCUGUCUUCAGGGACGAUAAUGACGGUACCUGAGGAGGAAGCCACGGCUAACUACGUGCCAGCAGCCGCCGUAA